This 88-nucleotide ribosomal RNA is filed under the name Bacillus amyloliquefaciens. RNAcentral describes it as "partial 16S ribosomal RNA". It matches the Rfam family "Bacterial small subunit ribosomal RNA", at positions 1 to 86 of the family's 1533-position model. Lineage: Bacteria; Bacillati; Bacillota; Bacilli; Caryophanales; Bacillaceae. RNAcentral also lists the same sequence under 11 other names. The record is from RNAcentral.
UUAUCGGAGAGUUUGAUCCUGGCUCAGGACGAACGCUGGCGGCGUGCCUAAUACAUGCAAGUCGAGCGGACAGAUGGGAGCUUGCUCC